GGUGAACGCUGGCGGCGUGCCUAAUACAUGCAAGUCGAGCGAACGGACGAGAAGCUUGCUUCUCUGAUGUUAGCGGCGGACGGGUGAGUAACACGUGGAUAACCUACCUAUAAGACUGGGAUAACUUCGGGAAACCGGAGCUGAUACCGGAUAAUAUUUUGAACCGCAUGGUUCAAAAGUGAAAGACGGUCUUGCUGUCACUUAUAGAUGGAUCCGCGCUGCAUUAGCUAGUUGGUAAGGUAACGGCUUACCAAGGCAACGAUGCAUAGCCGACCUGAGAGGGUGAUCGGCCACACUGGAACUGAGACACGGUCCAGACUCCUACGGGAGGCAGCAGUAGGGAAUCUUCCGCAAUGGGCGAAAGCCUGACGGAGCAACGCCGCGUGAGUGAUGAAGGUCUUCGGAUCGUAAAACUCUGUUAUUAGGGAAGAACAUAUGUGUAAGUAACUGUGCACAUCUUGACGGUACCUAAUCAGAAAGCCACGGCUAACUACGUG
This 497-nucleotide ribosomal RNA is filed under the name uncultured bacterium. RNAcentral describes it as "partial 16S ribosomal RNA". It matches the Rfam family "Bacterial small subunit ribosomal RNA", at positions 28 to 507 of the family's 1533-position model. The record is from RNAcentral.